RNAcentral lists this ribosomal RNA (301 nucleotides) under uncultured bacterium. RNAcentral describes it as "partial 16S ribosomal RNA". It matches the Rfam family "Bacterial small subunit ribosomal RNA", at positions 509 to 807 of the family's 1533-position model. The record is from RNAcentral.
CAGCCGCCACGGGAAAACGAAGGGUGCAAGCGUUACUCGGAAUUACUGGGCGUAAAGCGUGCGUAGGCGGUUACUCAAGUCAGAGGUGAAAGCCCGGGGCUCAACCCCGGAACUGCCUUUGAAACUAGGUGACUAGAAUCUUGGAGAGGUCAGUGGAAUUCCGAGUGUAGAGGUGAAAUUCGUAGAUAUUCGGAAGAACACCAGUGGCGAAGGCGACUGACUGGACAAGUAUUGACGCUGAGGUGCGAAAGCGUGGGGAGCAAACAGGAUUAGAUACCCCUGUAGUCCCUGUCUCUUAUAC